RNAcentral lists this ribosomal RNA (165 nucleotides) under Bacillus sp. ISL-101. Its description in RNAcentral is "partial 16S ribosomal RNA". It matches the Rfam family "Bacterial small subunit ribosomal RNA", at positions 1 to 162 of the family's 1533-position model. The record is from RNAcentral. Lineage: Bacteria; Bacillati; Bacillota; Bacilli; Caryophanales; Bacillaceae.
UCUUCGGAGAGUUUGAUCCUGGCUCAGGACGAACGCUGGCGGCGUGCCUAAUACAUGCAAGUCGAGCGAAUCGAUGGGAGCUUGCUCCCUGAGAUUAGCGGCGGACGGGUGAGUAACACGUGGGCAACCUACCUAUAAGACUGGGAUAACUUCGGGAAACCGGAG